GUAGUCCACGCUGUAAACGAUGAUUACUAGGUGUGGGGGGUCUGACCCCUUCCGUGCCGGAGUUAACACAAUAAGUAAUCCACCUGGGGAGUACGGUCGCAAGACUGAAACUCAAAGGAAUUGACGGGGGCCCGCACAAGCAGUGGAGUAUGUGGUUUAAUUCGAAGCAACGCGAAGAACCUUACCAGGUCUUGACAUCCUUAGACCACUUGAGAGAUCAAGCUUUCCCUUCGGGGACUGAGUGACAGGUGGUGCAUGGUUGUCGUCAGCUCGUGUCGUGAGAUGUUGGGUUAAGUCCCGCAACGAGCGCAACCCUUACUAAUAGUUGCUACGCAAGAGCACUCUAUUGGGACUGCCGUUGAUAAAACGGA
RNAcentral lists this ribosomal RNA (371 nucleotides) under uncultured bacterium. RNAcentral describes it as "bacterial SSU rRNA". It matches the Rfam family "Bacterial small subunit ribosomal RNA", at positions 790 to 1167 of the family's 1533-position model. The record is from RNAcentral.